Molecule: ribosomal RNA, 364 nt
Filed under: uncultured Smithella sp.
Lineage: Bacteria; Pseudomonadati; Thermodesulfobacteriota; Syntrophia; Syntrophales; Smithellaceae
Description: bacterial SSU rRNA
Rfam family: Bacterial small subunit ribosomal RNA
Source: RNAcentral
ACUUCGGUACAUCGGUGACAGGUGGUGGCAUGGUUGUCGUCAGCUCGUGCCGUGAGAUGUUGGGUUAAGUCCCGCAACGAGCGCAACCCUUAUCUUUAAUUGCCAGCAUUCAGUUGGCACUUUAAAGAGACUGCCGGUGUUAAACCGGAGGAAGGUGGGAUGACGUCAAGUCCUCAUGGCCUUUAUGCUUAGGGCUACACACGUGCUACAAUGGGUGGUACAAAGAGAAGCCAACUCGCGAGAGCGCGCCAAUCUCAAAAAGCCAUCCUCAGUUCGGAUUGGAGUCUGCAACUCGACUCCAUGAAGUUGGAAUCGCUAGUAAUCGCGGAUCAGCAUGCCGCGGUCGAAUACGUUCCCGGGCCUU